Molecule: small nuclear RNA, 107 nt
Organism: Octodon degus (degu)
Lineage: Eukaryota; Metazoa; Chordata; Mammalia; Rodentia; Octodontidae
Source: Ensembl
GUGCUCGCUUCGGCAGCACAUAUACUAAAAUUGGAACGAUACAGAGAAGAUUAGCAUGGCCCCUGCACAAGGAUGACACCCAAAUCUAAUAGCUGUCAUAUAAUACA